CAUAGGUUUGGUCCUAGCCUUUCCAUUAGUUAUUAAUAAACUUACACAUGCAAGAAUCCUCGUCCCAGUGAAAAUGCCCUCUAUACCACUAACGGUAAAAAGGAGCUGGUAUCAAGCACACUAAAAGUAGCUCAAAACACCUUGCUCAGCCACGCCCCCACGGGAAACAGCAGUGAUAAAAAUUAAGCAAUAAACGAAAGUCUGACUAAGUUAUAUUAUUGAGGACUGGUAAAUCUCGUGCCAGCCACCGCGGUCAUACGAUUAGGUCAAAUUAAUGGACAUCCGGCGUAAAGAGUGUUUUAGAAAAUGAAAACAAAUUAAUAAAGUUAAACUCUAACUAAGCUGUAAAAAGCCCUAGUCACUGUAAAAUAAAAUACGAAAGUAACUUUAAUAGAUCUGACCACACUAUAGCUAGGACCCAAACUGGGAUUAGAUACCCCACUAUGCCUAGCCCUAAACAUAAAAAAUUUAAAACAAAAUUAUUCGCCAGAGUACUACCAGCAAAAGCUAGAAACUCAAAGGACUUGGCGGUGCCUUAUAUCCCUCUAGAGGAGCCUGUUCUAUAAUCGAUAAACCCCGAUUCACCUUACCAAUCUUUGCCAAAUCAGCCUAUAUACCGCCAUCUUCAGCAAACCCUAAAAAGGAAGCACAGUAAGCAUAAGUAUCAACAUAAAAACGUUAGGUCAAGGUGUAGCCUAUAGAUUGGAAAGAAAUGGGCUACAUUUCCCCAAAUUGGGGAAAUAAUAUUCUACGAAAACUCAUGUGAAAUCAAGAGUUAAAGGUGGAUUUAGCAGUAAAUUAAGAAUAGAGUGCUUAAUUGAAUAAGGCCAUGAGGCACGCACACACCGCCCGUCACCCUCCUCAAAUAAGAAUAUUAUCAAUUACAUAAGCCUAUAAAUAUUAAAUUAUAAGAGGAGAUAAGUCGUAACAAGGUAAGUGUACUGGAAAGUGCACUUGGAAAAC
This 963-nucleotide non-coding RNA is filed under the name Baeodon gracilis (slender yellow bat). Its description in RNAcentral is "partial 12S ribosomal RNA". It matches the Rfam family "Bacterial small subunit ribosomal RNA". Lineage: Eukaryota; Metazoa; Chordata; Mammalia; Chiroptera; Vespertilionidae. The record is from RNAcentral.